RNAcentral lists this transfer RNA (64 nucleotides) under Aparatermes nr. cingulatus G13-81. RNAcentral's name for it is "tRNA-Arg". Lineage: Eukaryota; Metazoa; Arthropoda; Insecta; Blattodea; Termitidae. The record is from RNAcentral. RNAcentral also lists the same sequence under 2 other names.
AAGUAAGAAGCAAACCUUGCAAUCAGUUUCGACCUGAUCUUUGAUAAAAACUUAUCCUUACUUU